CCAGCCGCUCAGAACUUAAGGAAUGACGGGGCCGCACAAGCGGAGGAACAUGUGGUUUAAUUCGAUGAUACGCGAGGAACCUUACCCGGGCUUGAAAUGCAUCUGACCGGCCUUGAAAGAGGUUUUUCCCCUUCGGGGCAGAUGUGUAGGUGCUGCAUGGUUGUCGUCAGCUCGUGCCGUGAGGUGUCGGCUUAAGUGCCAUAACGAGCGCAACCCUCAUCAUUAGUUACCAUCAGGUAAGGCUGGGGACUCUAAUGAGACUGCCAUCGUAAGAUGUGAGGAAGGUGGGGAUGACGUCAAAUCAGCACGGCCCUUACGUCCGGGGCGACACACGUGUUACAAUGGGUGGUACAAAGGGCAGCUACCUGGCGACAGGAUGCUAAUCUCCAAAACCACUCUCAGUUCGGAUCGGAGUCUGCAACUCGACUCCGUGAAGCUGGAUUCGCUAGUAAUCGCGCAUCAGCCACGGCGCGGUGAAUACGUUCCCGGGCCUU
RNAcentral lists this ribosomal RNA (494 nucleotides) under uncultured Proteiniphilum sp. Its description in RNAcentral is "bacterial SSU rRNA". It matches the Rfam family "Bacterial small subunit ribosomal RNA", at positions 904 to 1382 of the family's 1533-position model. The record is from RNAcentral. Lineage: Bacteria; Pseudomonadati; Bacteroidota; Bacteroidia; Bacteroidales; Dysgonomonadaceae.